UACGGAGGGGGCGAGCGCUGUUCGGAAUCACUGGGCGUAAAGCGCGUGUAGGCGGUCUGGCAAGCCUGGGGUGAAAGCCCGGGGCUCACCCCCGGAAGUGCACUGGAAACUGCCAGACUCGAGUCCCGGAGAGGAGAGUAGAAUUCCUGGUGUAGCGGUGAAAUGCGUAGAUAUCAGGAGGAAUACCGGUGGCGAAGGCGGCUCUCUGGACGGUGACUGACGCUGAGACGCGAAAGCGUGGGGAGCAAACAGG
RNAcentral lists this ribosomal RNA (253 nucleotides) under uncultured bacterium. RNAcentral's name for it is "partial 16S ribosomal RNA". It matches the Rfam family "Bacterial small subunit ribosomal RNA", at positions 524 to 776 of the family's 1533-position model. The record is from RNAcentral.